This 80-nucleotide transfer RNA is filed under the name Rubrobacter sp. Its description in RNAcentral is "tRNA-Ala". The record is from RNAcentral. RNAcentral also lists the same sequence under 2 other names. Lineage: Bacteria; Bacillati; Actinomycetota; Rubrobacteria; Rubrobacterales; Rubrobacteraceae.
AGAACUUGGUGAUACGCAGCGAACGAUGGUUCCUCGCCUUUGCACGGCGGAGGUCAGGAGUUCGAAUCUCCUCGGGUCCA